This 241-nucleotide long non-coding RNA is filed under the name Elaeis guineensis (African oil palm). Its description in RNAcentral is "long non-coding RNA (EGUI_LNC029386)". Lineage: Eukaryota; Viridiplantae; Streptophyta; Magnoliopsida; Arecales; Arecaceae. The record is from RNAcentral.
GGGUCUCCCUUUUAUAGACGGAGGGUGCAAUAGACUGAUAGCGACGUUUGUAACCGCCUGACAGUGGGCCGCUAGGAGUCAGGAGGAGUUUGUUAUGAAGUGUAGUGGAGUGGAAUCGUGGCCAUCACCAAGACCUACCACGUGGAGUCUGUUGUGGGGAGUGGAGUGACAUCCAUUGUCGUGACUUGCCAGUGGGUGGAGGAACCGUGCGGUAUCCGUCGCAGGAAGCGGAGCAGAGUCG